This 253-nucleotide ribosomal RNA is filed under the name uncultured bacterium. RNAcentral's name for it is "partial 16S ribosomal RNA". It matches the Rfam family "Bacterial small subunit ribosomal RNA", at positions 524 to 776 of the family's 1533-position model. The record is from RNAcentral.
UACGUAGGUGGCAAGCGUUGUCCGGAUUUACUGGGCGUAAAGAGCGCGCAGGCGGUCGUUCAAGUCGCGUGUGAAAGCCCCCGGCUCAACUGGGGAGGGUCAUUCGAUACUGAUCGACUCGAAGGCAGGAGAGGGAAGUGGAAUUCCCGGUGUAGUGGUGAAAUGCGUAGAUAUCGGGAGGAACACCAGUGGCGAAGGCGACUUCCUGGCCUGUUCUUGACGCUGAGGCGCGAAAGCGUGGGGAGCGAACAGG